GCAGGCGUUAAACAAGGGCAGAAACGGCUUCCUGUUCCAUGAACUCAUUCAAGUCCAAAGGAUAGUCCACUGGUCGUCCUGAGAGCCCGUACAACACAAUAGGAAAUCACAGGCUUCACCAAGUAACAGGCUGACGUCUAGUUUAGAAACAUCUAAGAACUGAGAAACAUCCCCCAAAAUGUUUACCCUGCAGUGGGAGAGCACUCCUUUAAUCCCAGCACUCAAGAGGCAGAAACAGGUGAAUUUCUGAGUUCAAGGCCAGCCUGAUCUACAGCACACUAUGGCACCACACACAUGGUCUGGUGGUCCUGGGUUCUAUGAGAAAGCAG
This 329-nucleotide long non-coding RNA is filed under the name Cricetulus griseus (Chinese hamster). Its description in RNAcentral is "lncRNA (ENSCGRG00015030110.1)". Lineage: Eukaryota; Metazoa; Chordata; Mammalia; Rodentia; Cricetidae. The record is from RNAcentral.